RNAcentral lists this transfer RNA (74 nucleotides) under Salmo salar (Atlantic salmon). It matches the Rfam family "tRNA". From Rfam's summary of the family: Transfer RNA (tRNA) molecules are approximately 80 nucleotides in length. Lineage: Eukaryota; Metazoa; Chordata; Actinopteri; Salmoniformes; Salmonidae. The record is from Rfam by way of RNAcentral.
UCCCGUGUGGCUCAGUUGGUGGAGUGUGGUGCUUGCAACGCCAGGGUCGAGUGGGUUCAAUUCCCACAGGGGAC